UUAAGUUCAGCGGGUAGUCCUACUCGAUUUGAGGUCAAGUUGUCAAGAAUUGUCCAAAGACAGUUAGAAGCACAGGACUCUCGAUUGGCCAUCCUCUGGAGAGGUGCUGGCAAAGAUGCUUAUCAUGCCAUACUAUGGUUCAGUCAAGAGUUGCACUAAUGCAUUUGAGGUGAGCCACAGUGAAGCAGCAACACCCAAGU
Molecule: unclassified non-coding RNA, 200 nt
Filed under: Sebacina sp.
Lineage: Eukaryota; Fungi; Basidiomycota; Agaricomycetes; Sebacinales; Sebacinaceae
Description: partial internal transcribed spacer 2
Source: RNAcentral